UACGUAGGGGGCAAGCGUUGUCCGGAUUUAUUGGGCGUAAAGAGCGUGUAGGCGGCCAGAUAGGUCAGCUGUGAAAACUCGAGGCUCAACCUCGAGAUGUCGGCUGAAACCAUCUGGCUAGAGUCCGGAAGAGGAGAAUGGAAUUCCCGGUGUAGCGGUGAAAUGCGCAGAUAUCGGGAAGAACACCCGUGGCGAAGGCGGUUCUCUGGGACGGUACUGACGCUGAGACGCGAAAGCGUGGUGAGCGAACAGG
This 253-nucleotide ribosomal RNA is filed under the name uncultured bacterium. Its description in RNAcentral is "partial 16S ribosomal RNA". It matches the Rfam family "Bacterial small subunit ribosomal RNA", at positions 524 to 776 of the family's 1533-position model. The record is from RNAcentral.